This is a long non-coding RNA of Anguilla anguilla (European eel), 350 nucleotides long. RefSeq lists it as uncharacterized. NCBI's taxonomy places the organism in Eukaryota, Metazoa, Chordata, Actinopteri, Anguilliformes, Anguillidae. The record is from RefSeq and is a predicted model, not a curated record. The transcript is spliced from 2 exons.
CAUCCACCGCAGAAGCUCAGAGCUAUUUUUCUCUUGUCGGCUUCGUUUUUACUUUCAUUUUUCUCUCCCCAAUGUGUCUAAUAUUUUUAUUACGAGUAAACGUCAGCCUGGCUAAGAUCCAAGAACGUUAAGCGCCGUGGAGGAGGGAGCCGUUAUUUCAAUCGCGCAAUGAUUGGAAAAUAUCGGGUAACUGUAAAACGGGACACAGGCCAGUCUCCUUAAGUGCAGGCUACCGCAAUCAAAGUCACCACGAUUUACACAAUUCCAGGAUGGAAGCUAACUGUACACACCUGUGAUUCCUGCGCUGGACUGCAAUUUCAAAACGUUCUCCCAGGAUUGCAGCUGGAGCU